RNAcentral lists this non-coding RNA (146 nucleotides) under Bacillus methanolicus MGA3. Lineage: Bacteria; Bacillati; Bacillota; Bacilli; Caryophanales; Bacillaceae. The record is from RNAcentral.
AAAAGCAAAAAAAAAAGAAACCCCUAAAUACUAGGGGUUUCCGUCAUAUAUUACAUCAUGCCGUUCAUGUCAGGCAUUGCAGGACCUUUGUUUUCUUCUGGUUUGUCAGCAACAACUGCUUCAGUUGUUAAGAACAUAGCCGCAAC